RNAcentral lists this unclassified non-coding RNA (313 nucleotides) under Rhodotorula sp. RNAcentral describes it as "partial contains 5.8S ribosomal RNA, internal transcribed spacer 2, and large subunit ribosomal RNA". The stretch from base 1 to 52 matches the Rfam family "5.8S ribosomal RNA", at positions 103 to 154 of the family's 154-position model. Lineage: Eukaryota; Fungi; Basidiomycota; Microbotryomycetes; Sporidiobolales; Sporidiobolaceae. RNAcentral also lists the same sequence under 1 other name. The record is from RNAcentral.
AACGCACCUUGCGCUCUCUGGUAUUCCGGAGAGCAUGCCUGUUUGAGUGUCAUGAACUCUUCAACCCACCGGUUCCUUGUUGGAUCGUGUGGUGUUUGGAUUUUGAGCGCUUGCUAGUCGAAAGACUUUUAGCUCGCUCGUAAUACAUUAGCAUCUCAAUUUCGUAAUCGGAUUGACUCAGCGUAAUAGACUAUUCGCUGAGGACACGGGGUUUUACCUUGUGGCCGAACAUGAAUGAGUAUAGAAGCUUCCAACCCCUCUAGUCACCUUUAGAUUAGACCUCAGAUCAGGCAGGAUUACCCGCUGAACUUAA